UUCAACUUCUUUUUGCUUGGAGCGGGAGCUGGAACCAGAGCAGGAGGAGCGGCGAGAGGAGCUGGUGGUGGAACAGCUGGAGGAGGAGUUGCUGGUGGUGGAGUAGCUGGAGGAGGAGUUGCUGGAGGAGGAGAAGCAGGAGGUGGAGUGGCAGGAGGAGGAGAGGCUGGUGGUGGAGUAGCUGGAGGAGGAGAGACUGGUGGUGGAGUGGCGGGAGGAGGAGUGGCAGGAGGUGGAGUUGCAGGAGGAGGAGUAGCCGGUGGUGGAGUUGAAACUGGAGGAGGAGUAGCCGGAGGUGGAGAUUGAGUUACUGGAGGAGGAGCUGAAACCGGAGGAGGAGUAGUGGUUGGAGUUGGCGGAGCAGGAGUAGUUGUCGGAGAUUGGCCAGAAACACCA
This 396-nucleotide long non-coding RNA is filed under the name Jatropha curcas. RNAcentral's name for it is "long non-coding RNA (JCUR_LNC000405)". Lineage: Eukaryota; Viridiplantae; Streptophyta; Magnoliopsida; Malpighiales; Euphorbiaceae. The record is from RNAcentral.